AGAGUUUGAUCAUGGCUCAGAACGAACGCUGGCGGCAGGCCUCAAACAUGCAAGUCUAGGGGGUGUAGCAAUACAUCACCGGCGGACGGGUGCGUAACACGUGGGAAUAUACCUUUUGGUUCGGAACAACGCAGGGAAACUUGCGCUAAUACCGAAUGUGCCCUUACGGGGAAAGAUUUAUCGCCAAAGGAUUAGCCCGCGUCCGAUUAGCUAGUUGGUGAGGUAAUGGCUCACCAAGGCUCCGAUCGGUAGCUGUUCUGAGAGGAAGAUCAGCCACACUGGGACUGAGACACGGCCCAGACUCCUACGGGAGGCAGCAGUUGGGAAUCUUGGACAAUGGGGGAAACCCUGAUCCAGCCAUGCCGCGUGAGUGAUGAAGGCCUUCGGGUUGUAAAACUCUUUCGACGGGGACGAUAAUGACGGUACCCGUAGAAGAAGCUCCGGCUAACUUCGUGCCAGCAGCCGCGGUAAUACGAAGGGGGCUAGCGUUGUUCGGAAUUACUGGGCGUAAAGCGCGCGCAGGCGGUUUUUCAAGUCAGUGGUGAAAGCCCGGAGCUCAACUCCGGAACUGCCAUUGAAACUGUGAAACUUGAGGAUGAGAGAGGUGAGUGGAAUUCCCAGUGUAGAGGUGAGAUUCGUAGAUAUUGGGAAGAACACCGGUGGCGAAGGCGGCUCACUGGCUCAUUUCUGACGCUCAGGCGCGACAGCGUGGGGAUCAAACAGGAUUAGAUACCCUAGUAGUCC
RNAcentral lists this ribosomal RNA (744 nucleotides) under uncultured bacterium. Its description in RNAcentral is "bacterial SSU rRNA". It matches the Rfam family "Bacterial small subunit ribosomal RNA", at positions 8 to 796 of the family's 1533-position model. The record is from RNAcentral.